Molecule: ribosomal RNA, 1321 nt
Filed under: metagenome
Description: bacterial LSU rRNA
Rfam family: Bacterial large subunit ribosomal RNA
Source: RNAcentral
UUAGCGAAGUCCGUGAGCCAUGCGUCAAGAAAAGCCGCUAUCGUUCAUACCGUACCCGUACCGUAAACCGACACAGGUGGAUGAGGAGAGAAUCCUAAGGCCGGCGGAAGAAGCAUUGUCAAGGAACUCGGCAAAAUGGCCCCGUAACUUAGGGAUAAGGGGUGCCUGGGAAACCAGGCCGCAGAGAAUAGGCUCAAGCAACUGUUUAGCAAAAACACAGGUCUAUGCGAAACCGAAAGGUGAGGUAUAUGGGCUGACGCCUGCCCGGUGCUGGAAGGUUAAGAGGAGAGGUUAGCGCAAGCGAAGCUUUGAAUUUAAGCCCCAGUAAACGGCGGCCGUAACAAUAACGGUCCUAAGGUAGCGAAAUACCUUGUCGGGUAAGUUCCGACCCGCACGAAAGGCGUAAUGAUUUGAGCGCUGUCUCGACAAUGCAUCCGGUGAAAUUGAAGUACCAGUGAAGAUGCUGGUUACCUGCGCCAGGACGGAAAGACCCCAUGGAGCUUUACUCCAGUCUGGUACUGGGACUCGGUAUUGCAUGUACAGGAUAGGUGGGAGGCUAGGAGAUGGUAACGCCAGUUGCCAUGGAGCCGCUGUUGGGAUACCACCCUUGCAGUAUUGGGUUUCUAACCAGCCGCCGUGACCCGGCGGUGGGACAAUGCCAGACGGGGAGUUUGACUGGGGCGGUCGCCUCCGAAAGGGUAUCGGAGGCGCCCAAAGGUUCCCUCAGAAUGGACGGAAACCAUUCGAAGAGUGCAAAGGCAGAAGGGAGCUUGACUGCGACACCGACGGGUGGAGCAGGUACGAAAGUAGGGCUUAUUGAUCCGGUGGUAUUAAGUGGGAAUGCCAUCGUUCAACGGAUAAAAGCUACCCUGGGAUAACAGGCUUAUCACUCCCAAGAGUUCACAUCGACGGAGUGGUUUGGCACCUGAUGUCGGCUCAUAGCAUCCUGGGGCUGUAGUAGGUCCCAAGGGUUGGGCUGUUCGCCCAUUAAAGCGGUACGCGAGCUGGGUUCAGAACGUCGUGAGACAGUUCGGUCCCUAUCCGGCGUGGGCGUAGGAUAUCUGAGAGGAGCUGUCCUUAGUACGAGAGGACCGGGAUGGACGGGCCGCUGGUGCAUCGGUUAGACUGCCAAGUCUACGGCCGAGUAGCCAAGCCCGGAAGGGAUAAACGCUGAAGGCAUCUAAGCGUGAAGCCCCCCUUAAGAUGAGAUAUCCCAUUCGAAAGAAGUAAACCCCCUUGAAGACGACGAGGUAGAUAGGGCAGAGGUGGAAGUGCAGCAAUGCAUGGAGCUGACUGUUACUAAUCGGGUGAGGGCUUGACC